GGUUUUGGCUGUUUCGGUUUUGGUUCAGCUCUGGUUUCAACUCAGAAUUCGUGUUGAUUGGAAGUUUGGUUUUGGAUGCAAAGUUUUGUUCGAACACCAAUAGUUGAUAAUGUUGGAGGAAAUCAUUGGUAGCAAGGAGCUUUUCGUUCUCAGGAUGUUUGUUUCCAUCUGCAUGUAUAAUUAUUGUCUUUCAUUCUACACUCUUAGUACUCACAAACAUAUUUGUAAAAAU
RNAcentral lists this long non-coding RNA (232 nucleotides) under Lathyrus oleraceus (garden pea). Its description in RNAcentral is "Pisum sativum (pea) long non-coding RNA (PSAT_LNC011446)". The record is from RNAcentral. Lineage: Eukaryota; Viridiplantae; Streptophyta; Magnoliopsida; Fabales; Fabaceae.